RNAcentral lists this ribosomal RNA (2929 nucleotides) under Escherichia coli. RNAcentral describes it as "23S ribosomal RNA". It matches the Rfam family "Bacterial large subunit ribosomal RNA". Lineage: Bacteria; Pseudomonadati; Pseudomonadota; Gammaproteobacteria; Enterobacterales; Enterobacteriaceae. The record is from RNAcentral.
GGGUUGUGAGGUUAAGCGACUAAGCGUACACGGUGGAUGCCCUGGCAGUCAGAGGCGAUGAAGGACGUGCUAAUCUGCGAUAAGCGUCGGUAAGGUGAUAUGAACCGUUAUAACCGGCGAUUUCCGAAUGGGGAAACCCAGUGUGAUUCGUCACACUAUCAUUAACUGAAUCCAUAGGUUAAUGAGGCGAACCGGGGGAACUGAAACAUCUAAGUACCCCGAGGAAAAGAAAUCAACCGAGAUUCCCCCAGUAGCGGCGAGCGAACGGGGAGCAGCCCAGAGCCUGAAUCAGUGUGUGUGUUAGUGGAAGCGUCUGGAAAGGCGCGCGAUACAGGGUGACAGCCCCGUACACAAAAAUGCACAUGCUGUGAGCUCGAUGAGUAGGGCGGGACACGUGGUAUCCUGUCUGAAUAUGGGGGGACCAUCCUCCAAGGCUAAAUACUCCUGACUGACCGAUAGUGAACCAGUACCGUGAGGGAAAGGCGAAAAGAACCCCGGCGAGGGGAGUGAAAAAGAACCUGAAACCGUGUACGUACAAGCAGUGGGAGCCUCUUUUAUGGGGUGACUGCGUACCUUUUGUAUAAUGGGUCAGCGACUUAUAUUCUGUAGCAAGGUUAACCGAAUAGGGGAGCCGAAGGGAAACCGAGUCUUAACUGGGCGUUAAGUUGCAGGGUAUAGACCCGAAACCCGGUGAUCUAGCCAUGGGCAGGUUGAAGGUUGGGUAACACUAACUGGAGGACCGAACCGACUAAUGUUGAAAAAUUAGCGGAUGACUUGUGGCUGGGGGUGAAAGGCCAAUCAAACCGGGAGAUAGCUGGUUCUCCCCGAAAGCUAUUUAGGUAGCGCCUCGUGAAUUCAUCUCCGGGGGUAGAGCACUGUUUCGGCAAGGGGGUCAUCCCGACUUACCAACCCGAUGCAAACUGCGAAUACCGGAGAAUGUUAUCACGGGAGACACACGGCGGGUGCUAACGUCCGUCGUGAAGAGGGAAACAACCCAGACCGCCAGCUAAGGUCCCAAAGUCAUGGUUAAGUGGGAAACGAUGUGGGAAGGCCCAGACAGCCAGGAUGUUGGCUUAGAAGCAGCCAUCAUUUAAAGAAAGCGUAAUAGCUCACUGGUCGAGUCGGCCUGCGCGGAAGAUGUAACGGGGCUAAACCAUGCACCGAAGCUGCGGCAGCGACACUAUGUGUUGUUGGGUAGGGGAGCGUUCUGUAAGCCUGUGAAGGUGUACUGUGAGGUAUGCUGGAGGUAUCAGAAGUGCGAAUGCUGACAUAAGUAACGAUAAAGCGGGUGAAAAGCCCGCUCGCCGGAAGACCAAGGGUUCCUGUCCAACGUUAAUCGGGGCAGGGUGAGUCGACCCCUAAGGCGAGGCCGAAAGGCGUAGUCGAUGGGAAACAGGUUAAUAUUCCUGUACUUGGUGUUACUGCGAAGGGGGGACGGAGAAGGCUAUGUUGGCCGGGCGACGGUUGUCCCGGUUUAAGCGUGUAGGCUGGUUUUCCAGGCAAAUCCGGAAAAUCAAGGCUGAGGCGUGAUGACGAGGCACUACGGUGCUGAAGCAACAAAUGCCCUGCUUCCAGGAAAAGCCUCUAAGCAUCAGGUAACAUCAAAUCGUACCCCAAACCGACACAGGUGGUCAGGUAGAGAAUACCAAGGCGCUUGAGAGAACUCGGGUGAAGGAACUAGGCAAAAUGGUGCCGUAACUUCGGGAGAAGGCACGCUGAUAUGUAGGUGAAGUCCCUCGCGGAUGGAGCUGAAAUCAGUCGAAGAUACCAGCUGGCUGCAACUGUUUAUUAAAAACACAGCACUGUGCAAACACGAAAGUGGACGUAUACGGUGUGACGCCUGCCCGGUGCCGGAAGGUUAAUUGAUGGGGUCAGCGCAAGCGAAGCUCUUGAUCGAAGCCCCGGUAAACGGCGGCCGUAACUAUAACGGUCCUAAGGUAGCGAAAUUCCUUGUCGGGUAAGUUCCGACCUGCACGAAUGGCGUAAUGAUGGCCAGGCUGUCUCCACCCGAGACUCAGUGAAAUUGAACUCGCUGUGAAGAUGCAGUGUACCCGCGGCAAGACGGAAAGACCCCGUGAACCUUUACUAUAGCUUGACACUGAACAUUGAGCCUUGAUGUGUAGGAUAGGUGGGAGGCUUUGAAGUGUGGACGCCAGUCUGCAUGGAGCCGACCUUGAAAUACCACCCUUUAAUGUUUGAUGUUCUAACGUUGACCCGUAAUCCGGGUUGCGGACAGUGUCUGGUGGGUAGUUUGACUGGGGCGGUCUCCUCCUAAAGAGUAACGGAGGAGCACGAAGGUUGGCUAAUCCUGGUCGGACAUCAGGAGGUUAGUGCAAUGGCAUAAGCCAGCUUGACUGCGAGCGUGACGGCGCGAGCAGGUGCGAAAGCAGGUCAUAGUGAUCCGGUGGUUCUGAAUGGAAGGGCCAUCGCUCAACGGAUAAAAGGUACUCCGGGGAUAACAGGCUGAUACCGCCCAAGAGUUCAUAUCGACGGCGGUGUUUGGCACCUCGAUGUCGGCUCAUCACAUCCUGGGGCUGAAGUAGGUCCCAAGGGUAUGGCUGUUCGCCAUUUAAAGUGGUACGCGAGCUGGGUUUAGAACGUCGUGAGACAGUUCGGUCCCUAUCUGCCGUGGGCGCUGGAGAACUGAGGGGGGCUGCUCCUAGUACGAGAGGACCGGAGUGGACGCAUCACUGGUGUUCGGGUUGUCAUGCCAAUGGCACUGCCCGGUAGCUAAAUGCGGAAGAGAUAAGUGCUGAAAGCAUCUAAGCACGAAACUUGCCCCGAGAUGAGUUCUCCCUGACUCCUUGAGAGUCCUGAAGGAACGUUGAAGACGACGACGUUGAUAGGCCGGGUGUGUAAGCGCAGCGAUGCGUUGAGCUAACCGGUACUAAUGAACCGUGAGGCUUAACCUUACAACGCCGAAGCUGUU